UACGGAAGGGGCUAGCGUUGUUCGGAAUCACUGGGCGUAAAGCGCGCGUAGGCGGCUUGGCAAGUGAGGCGUGAAAGUCCUGGGCUCAACCCGGGGACUGCGCUUCAGACUGCUUGGCUUGAGUCCGGAAGAGGGUGGUGGAAUUCCGAGUGUAGAGGUGAAAUUCGUAGAUAUUCGGAGGAACACCGGCGGCGAAGGCGGCCACCUGGUCCGGAACUGACGCUCAAGUGCGAAAGCGUGGGGAGCAAACAGG
Molecule: ribosomal RNA, 253 nt
Filed under: uncultured bacterium
Lineage: Bacteria
Description: partial 16S ribosomal RNA
Rfam family: Bacterial small subunit ribosomal RNA
Source: RNAcentral